UACGAAGGUGGCAAGCGUUACUCGGAAUUACUAGGCGUAAAGGGCAGGUAGGUGGUCUGGUAAGUCUGUUGUGAAAGCUCCUUGCUUAACGGGGAGAGGUCAACAGAUACUGCCAGGCUUGAGUCUAGGAGAGGGUACUGGAAUUCCCGGUGUAGCGGUGAAAUGCGCAGAGAUCGGGAGGAACACCAAUGGCGAAAGCAGGUACCUGGACUAGUACUGACACUCAGAUGCGAAAGCGAGGGGAGCAAACAGG
This 253-nucleotide ribosomal RNA is filed under the name uncultured bacterium. Its description in RNAcentral is "partial 16S ribosomal RNA". It matches the Rfam family "Bacterial small subunit ribosomal RNA", at positions 524 to 776 of the family's 1533-position model. The record is from RNAcentral.